CCUACGGGAGGCAGCAGUAGGGAAUAUUGCUCAAUGGGGGAAACCCUGAAGCAGCAACGCCGCGUGGAGGAUGAAGGUUUUCGGAUUGUAAACUCCUUUUGUUAGAGAAGAUAAUGACGGUAUCUAACGAAUAAGCACCGGCUAACUCCGUGCCAGCAGCCGCGGUAAUACGGAGGGUGCAAGCGUUACUCGGAAUCACUGGGCGUAAAGCGCGCGUAGGCGGGAUAGCAAGUCAGAUGUGAACUGCUAUGGCUUAACCAUAGAACUGCAUUUGAAACUGUUAUGCUAGAGUAUGGGAGAGGUAGGUGGAAUUCGUGGUGUAGGGGUAAAAUCCGUAGAGAUCAAGAGGAAUACUGAUUGCGAAGGCGACCUGCUAGAACAUAACUGACGCUGAUGCGCGAAAGCGUGGGGAGCAAACAGGAUUAGAUACCCCUGUAGUC
RNAcentral lists this ribosomal RNA (440 nucleotides) under uncultured bacterium. RNAcentral describes it as "partial 16S ribosomal RNA". It matches the Rfam family "Bacterial small subunit ribosomal RNA", at positions 338 to 795 of the family's 1533-position model. The record is from RNAcentral.